GUCCAUCUCCUGGAGCCUUCGAUCCAGGAGGUCCUCUCGACUGCGAGUCUCGAGGGUCUUCUGGUAGAGUGGAGGUAGGGAUCCUCCGGGAGUGGAAUCGUGAUCAGACUGAGGGCUCUCCACCUUCAGAUUCCCCUUUCCAAGGAAGACAGGAUGACUGGCCCAAGUGGCCCACCCUACUACCGGAUCUUGAAACUCCGAUGAUGCUCUUUCCAACCGCACUGACACCUG
RNAcentral lists this long non-coding RNA (231 nucleotides) under Elaeis guineensis (African oil palm). Its description in RNAcentral is "long non-coding RNA (EGUI_LNC059787)". Lineage: Eukaryota; Viridiplantae; Streptophyta; Magnoliopsida; Arecales; Arecaceae. The record is from RNAcentral.